Molecule: ribosomal RNA, 429 nt
Filed under: Bacillota bacterium
Lineage: Bacteria; Bacillati; Bacillota
Description: Firmicutes bacterium partial 16S ribosomal RNA
Rfam family: Bacterial small subunit ribosomal RNA
Source: RNAcentral
UAGGGAAUCUUCGGCAAUGGACGGAAGUCUGACCGAGCAACGCCGCGUGAGUGAAGAAGGUUUUCGGAUCGUAAAGCCCUGUUGUUAGAGAAGAACGUUGGUAGGAGUGGAAAAUCUACCAAGUGACGGUAACUAACCAGAAAGGGACGGCCAACUACGUGCCAGCAGCCGCGGUAAUACGUAGGUCCCGAGCGUUGUCCGGAUUUAUUGGGCGUAAAGCGAGCGCAGGCGGUUCUUUAAGUCUGAAGUUAAAGGCAGUGGCUUAACCAUUGUACGCUUUGGAAACUGGUGGACUUGAGUGCAGAGGGGGAGGGUGGAAUUCCAUGUGUAGCGGUGAAAUGCGUGGAUAUAUAGAGAAACCCCAGUGGCGAAAGCGGCUCUCUGGUCUGUAACUGACGCUGAGUCUCGAAAGCGUGGGUUGCAAACAGG